Helianthus annuus (common sunflower) is the source of this 1262-nucleotide long non-coding RNA. RefSeq lists it as uncharacterized. NCBI's taxonomy places the organism in Eukaryota, Viridiplantae, Streptophyta, Magnoliopsida, Asterales, Asteraceae. The transcript has 4 exons. The record is from RefSeq and is a predicted model, not a curated record.
ACGAUGAUUGGAACUGAUGGUGGUAACGGUCGCCUGAAAAAUCGGAUAUGAUGAUAUGGUGAUUUCACACCGCCGUAUCACCGCCACCUCUUUGAUGUGAACUAUCGGAAUCAUGGAUUCUAUUGUUUUUAUAAACUAAUUCAGUUUUCGAUCUUUGGUUUUUAAUGGUGCGAUGGGAUUGAAGAAAGAAAUAGAUGAUGCCCAAGAAAUUGAAACAGGUGAAUCAAGCGUAUGAUGUCGAUGAACAGUUUGUGCUAACUGUUUAUACAAUUAAAGGAGGAGGAGGAGAAGAACUGAAUCAGGGAAAUCUAGCAAGUUAUGAACCGCAAGAUGCUCAUGAGUAUUUCAUUUCCAUGCUUGAUGGAAUCCAAGGUGGACAAAGAUGAGCGUGAACCACUGAACCUCAUUGUCAAGGUGAACGCCGCUUUGAUAUAUUAGUAAUCUUUUUCCUUUUGAAUCUGCAACUAUUUAUGUGGGUCAUAUAAAUUUUUUUGUUAAAGUGACAUUUUACAGGGACAAUUGUUUUUUCUUCAUCAUGUUAAUAUAUAUCAUACAAGUAAAAAUGGCGUCACAAGCAUGAGUUUUCAAGGGUCAUGUAGUGAAUCAGAUGGUAGAGAUUUUACAUUGGAGUAACAAAUAUAUUGAGUAGCAUUAAGGUAAAAGAUGACUAUUUUGAAUGUUUGUCUUCUCAGUCUACCUAUUUGUGUGAGUAAUGUUUCGAUGUUAUAUUUUGGAUUGAUGUAAAAUUUCCAUGAAAAAUCACUUUGGAUAAAACUUCUUUUUGUUUGUUCUAGAUAUUCCAUGAUUUUGGCACACAUCCAUCCGAUUCUUUUUAUUGUCAGUGGAUACUAAAACUGGUUUUACCCGAUCCUAAUUUUCAUCCAGGUACAUAAAGGUUGGUGAAAUCAUGGUAGAUUUGAGAAGAAAGGCUUCUCUUUGGUUAUGUGUAAGUUCGGCUCUUUACUCUUAUGCAAGUUUUUGGUAGAAACACGGAAUUCCUUUAUCUCAUGGGUCAGUUGUAUGAGUUGUGGAAUGGCAUUUUCUUAUCAAUCUAAAACAUUGAUUUAUGAUUUAUUACAUGGUGAGAGGAUAUUCUACUUAUGUUAAACAGAACAACUAUUUUGAGUUAUUUUCUAUAGUCACAUGCUUAUGGUGCUUCAUGGACCUAUAAAUGGAAAUACAUAUGACUACAAGAAGCAAAAAUGUGUUUUUUUGCAAGUUAGAGCUGGCAUCUAGGUAGUAUGUCUAUCUUGAAGUUGGAA